RNAcentral lists this transfer RNA (82 nucleotides) under Myxococcales bacterium. RNAcentral's name for it is "tRNA-Leu". It matches the Rfam family "tRNA". From Rfam's summary of the family: Transfer RNA (tRNA) molecules are approximately 80 nucleotides in length. Their secondary structure includes four short double-helical elements and three loops (D, anti-codon, and T loops). Further hydrogen bonds mediate the characteristic L-shaped molecular structure. tRNAs have two regions of fundamental functional importance: the anti-codon, which is responsible for specific mRNA codon recognition, and the 3' end, to which the tRNAs corresponding amino acid is attached (by aminoacyl-tRNA synthetases). tRNAs cope with the degeneracy of the genetic code in two manners: having more than one tRNA (with a specific anti-codon) for a particular amino acid; and 'wobble' base-pairing, i.e. permitting non-standard base-pairing at the 3rd anti-codon position. Lineage: Bacteria; Pseudomonadati; Myxococcota; Myxococcia; Myxococcales. The record is from RNAcentral.
GCCCGGGUGGUGGAACUGGUAGACACACCAUCUUGAGGGGGUGGCGGCGCAGGCCAUGCGGGUUCGAGUCCCGCCCCGGGCA